Molecule: ribosomal RNA, 497 nt
Filed under: uncultured bacterium
Lineage: Bacteria
Description: partial 16S ribosomal RNA
Rfam family: Bacterial small subunit ribosomal RNA
Source: RNAcentral
GAUGAACGCUGGCGGCGUGCCUAAUACAUGCAAGUCGAGCGAACAGACGAGGAGCUUGCUCCUCUGACGUUAGCGGCGGACGGGUGAGUAACACGUGGAUAACCUACCUAUAAGACUGGGAUAACUUCGGGAAACCGGAGCUAAUACCGGAUAAUAUAUUGAACCGCAUGGUUCAAUAGUGAAAGACGGUUUUGCUGUCACUUAUAGAUGGAUCCGCGCCGCAUUAGCUAGUUGGUAAGGUAACGGCUUACCAAGGCGACGAUGCGUAGCCGACCUGAGAGGGUGAUCGGCCGCACUGGAACUGGGACACGGUCCAGACUCCUACGGGAGGCAGCAGUAGGGAAUCUUCCGCAAUGGGCGAAAGCCUGACGGAGCAACGCCGCGUGAGUGAUGAAGGUCUUCGGAUCGUAAAACUCUGUUAUUAGGGAAGAACAAAUGUGUAAGUAACUAUGCACGUCUUGACGGUACCUAAUCAGAAAGCCACGGCUAACUACGUG